Molecule: RNA transcript, 2293 nt
Organism: Musa acuminata AAA Group (dessert banana)
Lineage: Eukaryota; Viridiplantae; Streptophyta; Magnoliopsida; Zingiberales; Musaceae
Exons: 3
Source: RefSeq, a predicted model, not a curated record
UCGCCGUCCGUGUGGUUGCUAUUCAUGGGCUAUUAGCCCAACCCGUUUCCGAUCCAUGGACAGCCCAUCAUAAACUUCCAUUUGGGUUAGUCUCAAAAUAUAACCGUCGUGACAGCUUAAAACCGCAUUCCAUUUCUCCCAGAGGGAAAGAAAGAUGGGAUCUCGAAGCCCUCAAUCCGAUCGCGCCUCCUCUGCCGCCCUCGCCCGUCCAACUUCUUUCUCCUCUCCUUGUGACCGCUCAAGCCCUCCAAAUCCCCACACCUUCAACCCUCUUCGUCGUUUGUUUCCGACGAGAAAGGAGGUGCCAAGAAGAUCUCGGCUCCAAGCCCCUUUCAAACCUAAUGCCUUGCGAAUCGAUUCCGCCGUCGAGAACUCACAUGAGAAGAAGAAGAAGAAGAAGGGUCUCCCCGAUUUUCUUUUGAUGAAGGAGAGCGCUCUGUCUGGGCACUGGUACAUCGUCGGGUGGAUAACCUUAUUGCACUGGACGCGUUGUUAUGUGAGUUGUCUUGUUUCUUUCCUCUUCUUGAUGAAUGGAGUUUGGCUAUUUGGUUAACGGCUGUCGUACAGACCAAUUAUCUGGGGACAGAGGGCAUGCAUCUUUCUCAAUGUUGAUCUUAAUUAAAGAAAAUGAUAUAUUUACUGAGCCUAAAUUCUACGAUAGAUUUUCUGCCAUAGCGAUUGUUAUUGCUGAGAAUGAACUCGUGGGAUGUAGAUAACCUUUAUAGAGAUUUGCUUAUGGAUUUGCAGACUAGCGUAUUUGGAUUUACAUAGAGUUGAGUAGUGAGACGUACCCAGAGGUACAGUGUAACUAGAUUGAUCAGUUCAUACGGUGGAAUUUUUUAUACAAUCAAUUAUGUAUUUACUAUUCUUGAAAAUCAAGAAAUGAGUUUCUUAUACAGACUAUAUUCUUUUUCUGUCCUAAUUCUAAGCUAAACUUAUAGUUAUAACUAAAUAUAUUGGAUAAAUUCUUGUUCUGUAAAGAAUUUACCUCUCCGCAAACUCUGGUACAAAGAAAUAAAGACUUCACUGAAAUUGAGUCCUUAUGGAUCAAUGACUUGCAUCAUACUAUCCUAAAAGCCUUUCUUAGGUUCACGCAAUCACAUGAUGGGGAUUUCUUAUUCACUUAAUCACACUGUUAUAGAAUCUUAAUUCUUUCUCAUAAUUCUGAUAGCUGGUACUUGAUUAUUAUAUUGCUGAUAGGGGCUUUCUUAUUCACCUCCUUACAAUGUUAAAGAAUGUUAGUUCUUAAUAGUUGUAGUAAACACAAUAUUGCUUACAAGUUUGUGCAUGUUUUGUGAAUAGUAAUGUAGACCAUGAAAGUUGGGGGGAGUUGAUUGUACUGGUUACGCAUAUGUCCACCCAUUACUUGCAACCAUAGAUUGGACUCUGUUAUCCGGGUUCAAAUUGUUUUGAAUGGUGACGCUCUGAAUGAUCUGUCCUUUCACUGACUAUAUCGACAAAUUAUGAAGAUACCAAAAUUAAAGGAAAAGCUGAAGGAAUUGGCAUGGUGGAUCUCAAGUUGCGGCUGCAAUAAAGGUACAGGACUUGUUUGGUUCUCAAAUUUGUUUGAAGACUGAAAACGGAUCGACUUCGGCCACCUGUCUGAUUGGUAAUGUGAUCGUGGAGCCAGCAGAGGAUGAAGUUCCGCCUAAAUAGAAAAAAGGCCUCUGAAGAAGACGAGGAUGCAGAUGAUCUUUUGUCGAAUGCAAGCGACCAGAGCGACAGGAGAUUGAUAACAUGUCCGUGUCUGGGCAUCUUCCUAUUGAGGAAUUUGACUCUUAUGAUCUCGAUGGAAGUGCUGAUAAGGACUAUGGCACUUGCAAUUGGUAGUAAUAGAGAGAGAGGUCCUUCACCCAUGUGGACAUGGUAAUGAUGACGAGGGUGGUUUGGAUGCAUGAUAUGGUGUGGUGAUGAUUUUGAUGACGUAGUAGUGUUGCGAUGGUGGUGGCACCGACCAGUGAUGACAACGGUGAUGAUCAAUCCAAUAUAAUUGGCAAGUGGAAGUUUGACACAUGUUCUCAAGCGUCACAAUCACCAUUUGCUAGUCGUGAAGACGAUGAACGCCUCAUGAUGAAUGACAUGAGGCCCAACGUGAUAAGUCCAGAUCACAUACAGAAUAAGAAAAAGAAUUACAAGUCUAGCCGAGCAUAUUUCUCAGAAAAUGUUAUCUAUAUCCCAUAUGUUUGCAACUUUUAUUACUUCUUGACGUGAUAACAUGUGCAUAGAAGAAAUGCUUUUGUCUAGAAAAAAAGAAAAAGGUAAAUGCAAAGAACAUACGACAUACUGGCUUCCA